Molecule: long non-coding RNA, 176 nt
Organism: Etheostoma spectabile (orangethroat darter)
Lineage: Eukaryota; Metazoa; Chordata; Actinopteri; Perciformes; Percidae
Exons: 3
Source: RefSeq, a predicted model, not a curated record
UGAUUAAGGUUAAGAAAAAUGUGAGCAUUAUGCGGCCACGAAAGUUAAGUUUAGGCAUUAAAACGAUUAGUUAAGUUAAGGAAAAAGAUUGUGGUUUGGAUUAAAACACUCCUAAGGAACACGUAUUUCCUGGGUGAAAGUCUUAUGUUUUCCCGGGGAAGAAAACUCCACUCCCU